CACGGCGGUAGAUCACCUAAGAUCAGCGACGUCCUGUCGCAACGGCGAUCGACUGUACAUCUUGUACG
RNAcentral lists this small RNA (68 nucleotides) under Tumebacillus sp. BK434. RNAcentral's name for it is "Bacillaceae-1 RNA". It matches the Rfam family "Bacillaceae-1 RNA". Lineage: Bacteria; Bacillati; Bacillota; Bacilli; Caryophanales; Alicyclobacillaceae. The record is from RNAcentral.